CAGUAGCCGCGGGAAUACGUAGGGUGCAAGCGUUAAUCGGAAUUACUGGGCGUAAAGCGUGCGCAGGCGGUUAUAUAAGUCAGAUGUGAAAUCCCCGGGCUCAACCUGGGAACCGCAUUUGAGACUGUAUGGCUAGAGUGUGUCAGAGGGGGGUAGAAUUCCACGUGUAGCAGUGAAAUGCGUAGAUAUGUGGAGGAAUACCGAUGGCGAAGGCAGCCCCCUGGGAUAACACUGACGCUCAUGCACGAAAGCGUGGGGAGCAAACAGGAUUAGAUACCCCCGUAGUCCCUGUCUCUUAUAC
Molecule: ribosomal RNA, 301 nt
Filed under: uncultured bacterium
Lineage: Bacteria
Description: partial 16S ribosomal RNA
Rfam family: Bacterial small subunit ribosomal RNA
Source: RNAcentral